UACGAGGGGGGCAAGCGUUGUUCGGAAUUAUUGGGCGUAAAGGGUGCGUAGGUGGUUCGGCAAGUCUUGUGUGAAAUCUUCAGGCUCAACUUGAAGUCUGCACAAGAAACUGCCGGGCUUGAGUAUGGGAGAGGUGAGUGGAAUUUCCGGUGUAGCGGUGAAAUGCGUAGAUAUCGGAAGGAACACCUGUGGCGAAAAGCGGCUCACUGGGACCAUUACUGACACUGAGGCA
RNAcentral lists this ribosomal RNA (232 nucleotides) under uncultured bacterium. Its description in RNAcentral is "partial 16S ribosomal RNA". It matches the Rfam family "Bacterial small subunit ribosomal RNA", at positions 524 to 753 of the family's 1533-position model. The record is from RNAcentral.